ACCCAGUUUGUGAGUAGCACAGUGACCUUACUGAAUUGUAGUUUUCUCUUCCUUCUCUUCAGGCUCGUCUGAUAUGUAACAACUUGACAAGUCACCAGAUGUCCAGGAUGAGCUGUAAAUGCUCAACUAUCCAGGGGAGGCAGUGUGGUAUACUGGAAACAGAGGACAGACGUGAGAUGUGUCACCAUAAAUCCCCUAAACCUCGUCAACCUUCUGGGGAAGCCUUGAUGGGAUUUCAGACCACAUCUUCAGGUUGUCUUGGUGGGGUAAAAAGAAACCUGAGCCAGAAACUCUGGAAAGGCGCUGGUAGGUUUGUACCUUAGCUCAGUUUUUUUCUGCUGUUUGAACUUCUCCAAACCCCAAAUUCAAAGUGGGAUUCAUAGAAGUUGGGUAGCUUUGGCAAGAUCCCUCUGAAAACUCAGAAAACCCUUCGGGUUUCCCAAGAUGCCUAAUACACAAGGGGAAGGAUUCACAUAUGGGACUCAACAAUUAUAACUGCC
This 500-nucleotide long non-coding RNA is filed under the name Phascolarctos cinereus (koala). RNAcentral describes it as "lncRNA (ENSPCIG00000024048.2)". Lineage: Eukaryota; Metazoa; Chordata; Mammalia; Diprotodontia; Phascolarctidae. The record is from RNAcentral.